UAAGAACAUAUUUCCAGCCUGCUGCCCUACAACACUCUCAAACCAAAUGGAAAAAAUGGCACUGCAGCACAUCCACCAACUUUGGAGUGUCCUCAUCCAUACAUAAUGUUUCUGUUUUUACGAAGCAAAGCAGAGAUGUGGAGCUUUCAAAACCUGCUGUUCACCAUCUGUGUUGCUCUGAGGUGUGUGAUCAGUGCAGUGGGAAUGAUCCAUGUGACUGGAUAUGUGGGGAGAGAGGUUAAUGUCUCCUGCUCUUAUGAUCAGAGUUAUGCAUCUCAUGAGAAGUACCUAUGUAAGAACGACUGUGGCAACAGUGAUGUUCUCAUUACAACAUCACAAGCAAGCAAAACCAAAUACUCAAUUUAUGAUGACAUCAGUGCACGAAUCUUCACAACAACUAUCUUUGAUCUUCAAUAUACGGAUGCU
Oreochromis aureus is the source of this 426-nucleotide long non-coding RNA. RefSeq lists it as uncharacterized. NCBI's taxonomy places the organism in Eukaryota, Metazoa, Chordata, Actinopteri, Cichliformes, Cichlidae. The transcript is spliced from 3 exons. The record is from RefSeq and is a predicted model, not a curated record.